CUGCAACUCGCCUGCAUGAAGUCGGAAUUGCUAGUAAUCGCGGAUCAGCAUGCCGCGGUGAAUACGUUCCCGGGCCUUGUACACACCGCCCGUCACACCAUGAGAGCCGGUAAUACCCGAAGUCCGUAGCCUAACCUUUUAGGAGGGCGCGGCCGAAAGUAGGACUGGUAAUUAGGGUGAAGUCGUAACAAGGUACC
RNAcentral lists this ribosomal RNA (197 nucleotides) under uncultured bacterium. RNAcentral's name for it is "partial 16S ribosomal RNA". It matches the Rfam family "Bacterial small subunit ribosomal RNA", at positions 1305 to 1500 of the family's 1533-position model. The record is from RNAcentral.